CCUCUCUAUGAUUAAACACCCAAACAAAUAGUUAAUUUCCCAUGAUGAUAAGUUACUUCAUAAGGAGUGAACUUCACAGGAAAUAGAGAGUUUGAACCAAAAGGCUUCAUUAUACUUCUGUGCCAAGAUAUUUGAUUCUUUACAUUGUACAAGAUCAAAACAUCCAAAAGUAUAGAACUACUUAGAAAUUCAAAAACAGAUGAAGUAUUAAUGGGCGAAGACAAAAAUGACGUGGUUCUUCCUUCAUUCUCGUAUCUCUUUCCUUAUUUCUCAUAGUCCUCUCAAUUAUUGAAGAAAGUGGCGAGCUUGGUUUGUCAUAACCACAAGGGGUCUUGGAAGGAAAGAUAAGGCCACUAACCACCGUAGACCUUUCUUGCAAAGACUGUCCACUGUCCACCUUCAGCAUUUGCAUGGUAAGCUGGUAUUGAAAGAGGAAUGCAACUCCUAAUGAACUGUCACAACAAAAGAAGCGCAUCUCCAAAAACAAUGGUAUAAUUCUCCAGUUUGAAAAAUCAAAUCAAUAUAGCUUUUCAUGUGCUACAGACUAGAGGUAGAGUUCACAGACAGUUCUCAACUUAUAAGAAAAUAUGCUUAGAUUGGCGUUUGAAUACAGGCUGCACCAAGUUAUAGAGGCAAAUCACAGGUAGCCAAGUAUACAUUCAACUUGUGAACGUUAAAAUGAUGAGAUAAGAUGUUGUUCAAAGAUAAUAAUUUGAUAGUCUAGAGUAAUAAAUCUACCCCAACACAUUUGAUCCAAUGGAUCACAAAGUUCUGGCAAUAUCAUACUUUACAACAUGUAUAACAGUACAAGCAAAGGUCGUUGUGUAUCAGUACUGUCAGAUCAUUAGGGUCAACCCUAAUGCAAAAAAGUUGGAAGAUCUCCCUUCCUUUGCUAAAAGAUUUCUCCAGCAAUUAUUGACUGCCCUAAUCAGCAAGUCUAGUCUGGGUCCUUGGGGAGGCUACAUGACUCCACAUCACAUGCCGACCAACUAAUUAGAUGGUGAGCCAGCCAACUGUUCCUUUGUAAACUGUAAGCUUUAGAUUGAACGUCGCUUAGCUAGGAAAGGCAGAAUUUGAACUUGCUGGUGAAGACUUAAAAGCUCCCAAAGCUUCCAGGAAGAACCUCUUAUUGGGGACAAUACCAUUUCUGUCCAUAUUUUUUAGCAGUUUCUGUACGAGCUCCUUCAUGUUGACUUUAGUGUAGGCUUUAUAAACGCUUUUAUAUGUUGAUGAAUCAGGUAGCACCCCAACACUAUGUGCACUGUCAAAUAGUAAAUCUGCUCCCAUGGGCAAACCGUUCAUACAGUAAACAUCAAGCAUGGCAUUUAAGGUUGAAACUUUGAACUCCUUUCCAGAUUCAACCAUACCAUCUAAAAGAUCCCUAGCCUUGGAAACACAGUCACAAAAUCCAUAUAUCUCUCAUAUGUGACGAAGCUUCGUGUGCAUUUCAUUUUGGUCAUCUUCUGAAAAACACUCUUUGCUUUCUCUUUCUGCCCAGUGGUUUCUCUUUGGAAUGCAACAAACUCUUAAAAAACUUGCUCCAUCUUAUAAAAUUCUCGUUUCUUUCCAUAAGAGUCCAUCAGCAAAUUAAAUGUAAUAAAAUCAGGGUUACAUUGAUUACUUAUCAUCCAAGAAAGUAUAGAUUCCAUUUCUCUUAUCAUCCCAUUUUUUCCACAGGCAUCCAUCAGACAAUUAAACUAUAUAUAUCAAGGGAAACAAUGCUCUGGUCAAGAUCUUUAAACAAAGCAUUAACUUGGUUCACAUUUCCAGCUUGUGUGAUAUGAACUGCCUAACUCCGCUUAAAACUAACUCACAAGGUCUGGUUUGCAAACCCAUAUAUAUAACGCCUAGGACCUCCCGCAUAAACCGAUGUAGAACGCAUCAUUGAACAAAAGCUCUCAUCAGAAUAUUGUAAGUCGCAAUACUGAGCAUUCAUUUUCUCAAAGUCACAUUUGCUUCCAUACUUGCAAACUCUUAAUUAACGAGAUACAGUUAAAAAGAAGAAUAACCAAACCAAAUCUAACAAAUCUGUAUUUUAACACGAAAGACAAUAAUUGAAACAAAGGAGUCACAAAGUAUUACCUCAAGACACUGAAGCUACUUAUCACGCUUGCCCAGCUCUUGAAACAGAUAAAAACAGUGUUCAGUCAUGAGCACCCGAGCCAACUCUUCCGCCUCCGAUUUCUCGGUAAUGGGAACUGGUUUCUUCCUGGGUCGGACUGAGACACAGGAAAUGUGGGUCCGUGGAGAUUUUUCUGCAGACGCCAUGGAAGAGUAGGAUUGGGUAUUUGAGAAAAUUGCUGCGUGAAGAAAGAAGAGUUGAGCGCUGCUGAGUGUGAACAAGUGACAUUUCU
RNAcentral lists this unclassified non-coding RNA (2354 nucleotides) under Hevea brasiliensis (rubber tree). The record is from RNAcentral. Lineage: Eukaryota; Viridiplantae; Streptophyta; Magnoliopsida; Malpighiales; Euphorbiaceae.